AGCGAACGCUGGCGGCAGGCCUAACACAUGCAAGUCGAACGAACUCUUCCGGGUUAUUUGCGGUCGGGUGAGUACCACCUGGUAACGUGCCCUUAGGUUCCGAAUAACUCAGUGUAACUUAAGCUCAUACCGGUUGUGCCCUUCCCGGGAAAGAUUUAUCGCCUUUAGAGCGGCCCUCGUCUGAUUAGCUAGUUGGUGAUGUAAAGGCUCGCCAAGGCGACGUUCAUUAGCUGGUCGGAGAGGAGGAUCAUCCACAUUGGGACUGAGACACGGCCCAAACUCCUACGGGAGGCAGCAGUGGGGAAUCUUGCGCAAUGGGCGAAAGCCUGACGCAGCCAUGCCGCGUGAAUGAUGAAGGUCUUAGGAUUGUAAAAUUCUUUCACCGGAGACGAUAAUGACGGUACCCGGAGAAGAAGCCCCGGCUAACUUCGUG
This 433-nucleotide ribosomal RNA is filed under the name uncultured bacterium. Its description in RNAcentral is "partial 16S ribosomal RNA". It matches the Rfam family "Bacterial small subunit ribosomal RNA", at positions 29 to 507 of the family's 1533-position model. The record is from RNAcentral.